This 496-nucleotide ribosomal RNA is filed under the name uncultured bacterium. RNAcentral describes it as "partial 16S ribosomal RNA". It matches the Rfam family "Bacterial small subunit ribosomal RNA", at positions 28 to 506 of the family's 1533-position model. The record is from RNAcentral.
GAUGAACGCUGGCGGCGUGCCUAAUACAUGCAAGUCGAGCGAACGGACGAGAAGCUUGCUUUUCUGAUGUUAGCGGCGGACGGGUGAGUAACACGUGGAUAACCUACCUAUAAGACUGGGAUAACUUCGGGAAACCGGAGCUAAUACCGGAUAAUAUUUUGAACCGCAUGGUUCAAAAGUGAAAGACGGUUUUGCUGUCACUUAUAGAUGGAUCCGCGCUGCAUUAGCUAGUUGGUAAGGUAACGGCUUACCAAGGCAACGAUGCAUAGCCGACCUGAGAGGGUGAUCGGCCACCCGGGACCUGAGAACGGGUCCGGACUCCUAGGGGGGGCAGAGGAAGGAAAUCUUCCGAAAUGGGCGAAAGCCUAAGGGAGCAACGCCGCGGGAGUGAUGAAGGUCUCCGGAUCGUAAAACCCUUUUAUUAGGAAAGACAAAAUGUGUAAGUAACUGUGACGAUUUGACGGGAACCAAACAAAAAAGCACCGGCUACCUACGU